Numida meleagris (helmeted guineafowl) is the source of this 1669-nucleotide long non-coding RNA. The record is from Ensembl. NCBI's taxonomy places the organism in Eukaryota, Metazoa, Chordata, Aves, Galliformes, Numididae.
UGUGGGGGAAGCCAUGGGUAGGCCCUGGGAGAAGUGGGGAGGGCCCUAGAGGGGUGAGGAGUGGGGAGAGCAUGUUUAGGAUGUGAAGGUGGGGGGGCUGUGGGUAAGUCCUAGGGGAGGAGUGGGGAGGGGGUAUGGGGGAAGCUAUGGGUAGGCCCUGGGGGGGGAUGUAGGGAGGAUGUGGAGGACAUAGGUGAGGUGGGGAGGGCCAUGUAUGGGGUGUGGAGGUGAGGGGAGGGCCAUGGGUAAGCCCCCAGACCUGGGUGGUAUGAGGCCCUGAGGGUUCCCAGCUGGGUGGGGGGGGGGGGGGCUCAGGACCUGUGGGGCACAGCCUGGUUUUGGAGUGGGGUGUUCCCUCCACACCACCCUAUGGAGUAGGGUUGGAUUGAGUCCCCUUUGGUGGGGGGGAGGUCACCCCCUUGACACCCCCCGAGCUGACCCCGUUGUCCUCAGGCUGCCCAUACCCCUCCAGGCAGCCCUCUUCCCUCCCCCCCCACCCCAACCACCCCUUUUUCUCUGAAGUGCCCCAAUCUCCUCAGAACUGCCCCCUCACACCAGAACUGCUCUCCACUCAGGUGCAGCUUAAGGGGAGGGCUCUGUAGGGACCCCCCCACACACACAGGCAGGGAUCAGGGCAGCUCGCCCCGCAGUGUCUGCAUGGAGCUGCGUUCCUUGUGGGUGCAAGGGAUUGGUGAGAGCAGCGAUGGGAGAAAUUCGGGUUUAAAACAAUCCAGUGCUGAACAUCAGGAGAAACAAAACCAGCCCGUGGUCCUGAAGGAGGCACGUGGGGACGUUCCCUGGGCAGGGGGUGACCUGUCUGGUACCAUGAAUGCUGACAAGAGGGGACUGCGCCGUGCUGCACGAUGCAGGCCGUGCUGAUGGCCGUGCAGCCGCUUCUCAGGGCAGCUGCUUGGAAUUCUAACGGGGAAUCGAUGCGUGUCGCCACCCAGCUCUGCUGGAAGCGCCUCCCACUUCGCUCAGAGCUCCGGCGUGUCACGUGUUGCUCUGUUCCCGUGUCAGCUCUUCAGAAAUGGGUAUUUUAGGAUUUCUCUGCAGCGCUGGGGUCGUCGCUGUUCUGGAGCGUUCCGCUGUCGGUAUCACCGUGGUGCCUGGGGAGGGAGCGGGGCUGUGGGUGCAGAGCUGAGCUGGGUGCUCCUUCCUAGCAAGGUGAAGGAGAUGCCACGAAGAGAGGGGGAUUUUCUUACCUUGUGUCCUUCUCCUGUUUUAUGGAGACUUAAACAUCUCCAGUCUUGCAGAGUUCGGAGCGCUGCGCACCUCCCUGGCACCAACCAGGGUCCUGUUAGGGUUCAGCAGCGUGAAACAAAUCGGGCUGACCCGUCCAUGAGCGAAAUGGGGGCAGAGGUUGGAGAGUUCCUUUCAUACGAGCUCGCUUCUGAAGGCUCUCUGCUAACUGAGGGUGCAGACCACCGCCUACGAGAAUGAAAAACAUUAGCAAUUAGUUCAUGUUAAUUGUCAGUAGGAAGUAAUGCCUGUAACUGUCUCACCACCGUCGCUGCUUCUGCACAGACAAGGAUUUCUGUUUGAUCUGGCGCUCCUAGCACUGUGAACAAGGUUCCUUGCUUGUUGUUGCUGUUUUCCUUCAGAACUGCUGGACAGAAAUAGGCACGUGGCUGUUGUGCUUUUCUCCCCGCCGUGCUUUGUCCCCAGC